Molecule: ribosomal RNA, 254 nt
Filed under: uncultured bacterium
Lineage: Bacteria
Description: partial 16S ribosomal RNA
Rfam family: Bacterial small subunit ribosomal RNA
Source: RNAcentral
UACGUAGGGGGCAAGCGUUAUCCGGAAUCACUGGGCGUAAAGCGUGCGUAGGUGGCGUGUUAAGUGCAAUGCGAAAUCCUGUGGCUCAACCAUAUGGACUGUAUUGCAUACUGGCAUGCUAGAGGACGGCAGAGGCAAGUGGAAUUACCGGUGUAGCAGUGAAAUGCGUAGAGAUCGGUAGGAACACCAAUGGCGAAGGCAGCUUGCUGGGCCGACCCUGACGCUAAGGCACGAAAGCGUGGGGAGCGAACAGG